UACAGAGGUCUCAAGCGUUGUUCGGAUUCAUUGGGCGUAAAGGGUGCGUAGGUGGCGCCAUAAGUCAGGUGUGAAAUCUCGGGGCUCAACCCCGAAACUGCAUUUGAUACUGUGGUGCUCGAGUACUGGAGAGGAGAUUGGAAUUUACGGUGUAGCAGUGAAAUGCGUAGAUAUCGUAAGGAAGACCAGUGGCGAAGGCGAAUCUCUGGACAGUUACUGACACUGAGGCACGAAGGCCAGGGGAGCAAACAGG
RNAcentral lists this ribosomal RNA (253 nucleotides) under uncultured bacterium. Its description in RNAcentral is "partial 16S ribosomal RNA". It matches the Rfam family "Bacterial small subunit ribosomal RNA", at positions 524 to 776 of the family's 1533-position model. The record is from RNAcentral.